ACGAACGCUGGCGGCGUGCUUAACACAUGCCAGUCGAACGCUGAAGCUCAGCUUUUGUUGGGUGGAUGAGUGGCGAACGGGUGAGUAACACGUGAGUAACCUGCCCCCUUCUUUGGGAUAACGCCCGGAAACGGGUGCUAAUACUGGAUAUUCACUGGUCUUCGCAUGGGGGUUGGUGGAAAGGGUUUUUCUGGUGGGGGAUGGGCUCGCGGCCUAUCAGCUUGUUGGUGGGGUGAUGGCCUACCAAGGCUUUGACGGGUAGCCGGCCUGAGAGGGUGACCGGUCACAUUGGGACUGAGAUACGGCCCAGACUCCUACGGGAGGCAGCAGUGGGGAAUAUUGCACAAUGGGCGCAAGCCUGAUGCAGCGACGCCGCGGGAGGGAUGGAGGCCGUCGGGUUGUGAACCUCUUUCGCUCAUGGUCAAGCCGCAACAAUGGUUGUGGUGAGGGUAGUGGGUAAAGAAGCGCCGGCUAACUACGUG
Molecule: ribosomal RNA, 482 nt
Filed under: uncultured bacterium
Lineage: Bacteria
Description: partial 16S ribosomal RNA
Rfam family: Bacterial small subunit ribosomal RNA
Source: RNAcentral